This 519-nucleotide ribosomal RNA is filed under the name uncultured eukaryote. RNAcentral's name for it is "SSU rRNA". It matches the Rfam family "Eukaryotic small subunit ribosomal RNA", at positions 1161 to 1682 of the family's 1831-position model. The record is from RNAcentral.
AGGGCACCACCAGGAGUGGAGCCUGCGGCUUAAUUUGACUCAACACGGGGAAGCUCACCCGGCCCGGACACUGUAAGGAUGGACAGAUUAAAAGCUCUUUCUUGAUUCAGUGGGUGGUGGUGCAUGGCCGUUCUUAGUUGGUGGAGUGAUUUGUCUGGUUAAUUCCGAUAACGAACGAGACUCUGACCAGCUAAAUAGUACGUUGGUAUUGGCGCUCAGCAAUGGGUGUUCUCGCUGACGCUGACUUCUUAGAGGGAUUCGCAGUAUUCAGACUGCACGAAAUAGAGCAAUAACAGGUCUGUGAUGCCCUUAGAUGUCCGGGGCCGCACGCGCGCUACAAUGACAGCUUCAGAGAGUUUUGCAACCUGGUCCGAAAGGAUUGGGAAAUCUUGGCAUAGCUGUCUCCUCAGGGAUUGGGGUUUGUAACUGUCCCCCAUGAACGAGGAAUUCCCAGUAGGCGCACGUCAUCACCUUGCGCCGAUUACGUCCCUGCCCUUUGUACACACCACCCGUCGCUAC